GCAAUCGACCACAGGAUAGAGAGAACAGCGCUUCCCGUUUGCUCAGCGGUACUUAAGCUCUAUGCCGGCCAGUCAGUACUAAGGUGGGUGACCACUUGGGAAUCCUGGCUGUUGAUUGUU
Cladophialophora carrionii is the source of this 120-nucleotide ribosomal RNA. The record is from Rfam. Lineage: Eukaryota; Fungi; Ascomycota; Eurotiomycetes; Chaetothyriales; Herpotrichiellaceae.